RNAcentral lists this ribosomal RNA (638 nucleotides) under Winogradskyella sp. RNAcentral describes it as "bacterial SSU rRNA". It matches the Rfam family "Bacterial small subunit ribosomal RNA", at positions 62 to 696 of the family's 1533-position model. Lineage: Bacteria; Pseudomonadati; Bacteroidota; Flavobacteriia; Flavobacteriales; Flavobacteriaceae. The record is from RNAcentral.
UCGACGGUAACAUUGAUGCUUGCAUCAGAUGACGAGUGGCGCACGGGUGAGUAACGCGUAUACAAUCUACCUUUUACAGGGGGAUAGCCUUUAGAAAUGAAGAUUAAUAUCCCAUAGUAAGUAGUUUUGGCAUCAAGACAACUUUAAAGUUUCGGCGGUAAAAGAUGAGUAUGCGUUCUAUUAGUUAGUUGGUAAGGUAACGGCUUACCAAGACCACGAUAGAUAGGGGCCCUGAGAGGGGGAUCCCCCACACUGGUACUGAGACACGGACCAGACUCCUACGGGAGGCAGCAGUGAGGAAUAUUGGACAAUGGGCGCGAGCCUGAUCCAGCCAUGCCGCGUGCAGGAAGACUGCCCUAUGGGUUGUAAACUGCUUUUAUACAGGAAGAAACCUUUUCACGUGUGAAAAGCUGACGGUACUGUAAGAAUAAGGAUCGGCUAACUCCGUGCCAGCAGCCGCGGUAAUACGGAGGAUCCAAGCGUUAUCCGGAAUCAUUGGGUUUAAAGGGUCCGUAGGUGGAUAAUUAAGUCAGGGGUGAAAGUUUGCAGCUCAACUGUAAAAUUGCCUUUGAUACUGGUUAUCUUGAAUUAUUGUGAAGUGGUUAGAAUAUGUAGUGUAGCGGUGAAAUGCAUAGAUA